CAUGUGCCAGCUUCUGUCCCUGGCCCACAGAGUCACCUUGAUAGCUGUGCGCUGCCACAGGGACUGCUGCAGCCUCAGGAUGGUCUAUGCUGUGGGGAGGGCCUGCAGGACUGGGGUCUUUCUGACCUGGAAUGAAUAUAGAGCAUAGGUGGACCUAUUUCCUGCUGCCAGAUUUAAGAAGUUUGCCACAGAAAAUGAGGCCUGGGCCUUUGUCAGGAAAUCUGCAAGCCCAGAAGGUUCAGAAGGGCAGAAAAAUAAACAUGUACAAGAAUCACAAAUGAAAGCCAGCAAGGGACUCUGUGAGCCACUGAAUGGAGAUGGAGAUGAAAGUGCAGAGUCUUGUGCAAAGCCUGUGAAGCAAAUCAUAGAGCCGGCACCUCGAGUGAGCAGAGACAUUUUCUUACAUCGGAGGCUUUGUCGUCGUCUACACUGAUGGCUACUGCUCCAGUAAUGGGUGGAGGAGAGCACUAGUGGGAACUGACGUUUACUGGGGGCCAGGCCAUCCUUUAAAUGUAGGCAUUAGACUUCCUGGGUGACAGACAAACCAAAGAGCAGAAAAUCAUGCAGCCUGCAACACCAUUGAACAAGCAAAGGCUGAAAACAUCAAUAAAUUGGUUCUGUACACAGAUAGUAUGUUUGCUAUAAAUGGUAUAACUAACUGGGUUCAAGGUAGGAAGAAGAACAGGUGGAAGACAAGUACAGGGAAAUAGGUGAUGAACAAAAAGGACUUUGUGGCACUGGAGAAGCUCAGUCAAGGCAUGGACAUUCAGUGGAUACUUGUUCCUGGUCAUCCAGGGUGUAUUGGCAAUGAAGAAGCUGAUAGAUUAGCAAGAGGAGCUAAACAUUCUGAAGACUAA
RNAcentral lists this long non-coding RNA (857 nucleotides) under Homo sapiens (human). RNAcentral describes it as "non-protein coding lnc-HHAT-1:1". The record is from RNAcentral. Lineage: Eukaryota; Metazoa; Chordata; Mammalia; Primates; Hominidae.